This 398-nucleotide unclassified non-coding RNA is filed under the name soil metagenome. RNAcentral describes it as "partial contains 5.8S ribosomal RNA, internal transcribed spacer 2, and large subunit ribosomal RNA". The stretch from base 1 to 120 matches the Rfam family "5.8S ribosomal RNA", at positions 35 to 154 of the family's 154-position model. The record is from RNAcentral.
GAUGAAGAACGCAGCGAAAUGCGAUAAGUAGUGUGAAUUGCAGAAUUCAGUGAAUCAUCGAAUCUUUGAACGCACAUUGCGCCUCUUGGUAUUCCAGGAGGCAUGCCUGUUCGAGCGUCAUUAAACAACAUCGGCUAUGAUUUCAUCAUCAGAGCACGGUAUUGACGAUUGAGCAAAGAAACUGAUUUUUUUUAGGCUCUUCGUUGAAAUAAUUACUGGCGGAAUCUGGGUUUUAGAGCUCGUCGGCGUAGUGAAUCUUGUAUUUAUAUUACUUGUCGCUGAAGUGAGCUCUACCUUUACAUUCUAGCCGUACAAAAUCCAUAAUGGAACUCAUUCUAGUUUGACCUCGAAUCAGGUAGGGAUACCCGCUGAACUUAAGCAUAUCAAUAAGCGGAGGA